UGAGCAAUCUGCCCUUCUCAUCGGAAUAAGCGUUGGAAACGACGUCUAAUGCCGAAUACGACCUCCUUUCGCAUGAUCGGAGGUGGAAAGCUCCGGCGGUGAAGGAUGAGCUCGCGGCCUAUCAGCUUGUUGGUGAGGUAAUAGCUCACCAAGGCGAUGACGGGUAGCCGGCUGGAAACGGGUGACCGGCCACACGUGGGACUGACGCCACGGCCCAGACUCCGUAGGGA
Molecule: ribosomal RNA, 230 nt
Filed under: uncultured bacterium
Lineage: Bacteria
Description: partial 16S ribosomal RNA
Rfam family: Bacterial small subunit ribosomal RNA
Source: RNAcentral